GAUGGAAAGUAUAGGGAUGUUGGAUUGAGAAGCUAUACGUGUUUAAAGAAAUACAAAGAAUGUAGGCCGUAGGCCAAUAUUUAAUAUGUGCAACUUAAAAUAUAAAGAAUAUACAGUUGAAUGGGGGACAUGGAAAUGAAUCAAUGUUACAAGUUAGGGGAUCGUAAGGAAUAGCCUUUUUCUCGACACCAGCUACAAGCUCUCUAAACUGGCCCAUUCAGGUCUCCUCUUUUCGAAGAGGAUGAAGUGCUUGUAUAGGCUGCUUUUCAGUAGAAAACUUCUAUUCCUUUGAGUGUGUCAGCGCUGACUCUGGCCCUGUGAAGUCACAUCACUCUAACUACCAUUCUUGUCUUCUAGUGAGCUUUUCUUGCGUGAUGUCGUGGUUCCUCGUUUGGAGUUGUUAAUCACCAAGCAAGUUUCCAUCGUGUAGCGUUUGCGCGAGAUGUGCUCUAUGAUUUCCUCAUUUCUUCUUUUCCACUUAUCUUGCAUUUAAACAUGAUAAUCGCAUAAAACAAACAUGAUACUUAUAUAAGUUAUAUUUCUAAAUAUUUAUGAAUUUACAAAGUGAGCCACACUCAUUGAUCCUCUUCUUAUGCGUUUUGACCUCGUUAUUCCAAUAAAAGAGGGUAUAAUAACGGGUGUUUAAACACAUUAUCAAAUAGUAGAACUAGGAAGGGUUUCAUUGCGACAAAUUGAAUGUAAUAAAAGAGAAAAAAGAUUUCAAUCUUGAGGAAGUUAAAUUAAAGAAAUUAAAAAUGAUAUUUCUUUCAAUUAUGAAAAUAGGGAAUUGGGUGAUCCACUGUGAUUCUAAUCAUUGAAACAUAAAUACCAAUGCAAUCAAAUUGAACCUUGAUCAAUUAGUCUUUUUAGGACUAAUCGCCAUAAUUUAAUGAAUAAAGUGAAAGAACAAGAUUCAUACUAACUAUUGCAAUAAUAUUCAUCUUAGUAGUUUCAAUAAAAUUACAAUGAGUUGCAUAAGGCACAAGAAUUUUGAAUCAAAACUUUUCAAAGCAGGAUAGCCACUAUCUUCAAAAAGAUUAAUGAGGCUUAUUUUAAUUGAACAAUCAAGAAUAAAUUCAAUAGGAUUCAAGACAAAGCUAAAGAAUUCAAUUCAAGAUUAAUAACGUUCAUGCUUUAAUAGUGAGUUUAGCACUUCUAGAUAUUGCGAGUAAACCAUAAAAUUAUUGGGUGAUUAAGCAAAUACAUAAAGUGUUUUUUUAUUGGAAAACAAGAAAGGAAAAAAGCUCCAAGAUCAAUUUGAUAUGCAAAAUUAAAUAAGUAAUCUCAUAGAAUUAAAGCAUAAUCACCCAGUUCGCAAGAAUUACCUUUACCCAUCAAGUAAUUUGGAGAAGCAAAAGAGAAUUGGUGGAGAAAUUGACUCAUUCUUGCAACAAAAAAUGAAGAGAUUUUAUCGAGUAGCUAAGAAAGAUUACACUAAUUUGAAGAGUAAUUUUGCUUACUGUGAGGCCGUGAUAUGAAAAAAAGGAGUCCUGUGUGAGGCCUUUUGCGAGGAAGGAUGCGAGAAAAGAAGAGGCGACAUGAAGGAA
Molecule: long non-coding RNA, 1547 nt
Filed under: Cucumis sativus (cucumber)
Lineage: Eukaryota; Viridiplantae; Streptophyta; Magnoliopsida; Cucurbitales; Cucurbitaceae
Description: long non-coding RNA (CSAT_LNC000450)
Source: RNAcentral